CGCGGGGUGGAGCAGUGGUAGCUCGUCGGGCUCAUAACCCGGAGGUCGUCGGUUCGAAUCCGACCCCCGCAACCA
RNAcentral lists this transfer RNA (75 nucleotides) under Chloroflexota bacterium. Its description in RNAcentral is "tRNA-Met". It matches the Rfam family "tRNA". From Rfam's summary of the family: Transfer RNA (tRNA) molecules are approximately 80 nucleotides in length. Lineage: Bacteria; Bacillati; Chloroflexota. The record is from RNAcentral. RNAcentral also lists the same sequence under 2 other names.